ACKGCUCAGUAACACGUCGGUAAUCUGCCCUAAGGUCAGGGAUAACCUCGCGAAAGUGAGGGUAAUACCUGAUAGGGAAAUUCGUCUGGAAGGACAUUUUCCCAGAAACUCGUGCCUUAGGAUGAGCCGGCGGCGGAUUAGGCUGUUGGCGGUGUAAUGGACCACCAAACCGAAGAUCCGUACGGGCCAUGAGAGUGGGAGCCCGGAGAGGGACACUGAGAUACUGGUCCCAGCCCUACGGGGUGCAGCAGGCGCGAAGCCUUUUCAAUGCACGCAAGUGUGAGAAGGGAAUUCCAAGUGCUCAAGUUUUACUUGGGCUUUUGCCAAGUGUAAAAAGCUUGGCGAAUAAGGGGUGGGUAAGACUGGUGCCAGCCGCCGCGGUAACACCAGCGCCUCGAGUGGGGAUCGCGAUUAUUGGGUCUAAAGCGUCCGUAGCAGGCUUUGUAAAUACUUUGUGAAAUCGGCAGGCAUAGCCUGUCGGCGUGCAGAGUAGACUGCAGGGCUUGAGACCGGGAGAUGUCAGAAGUAUUCCUAGGGUACCGGUAAAAUGGGUUAAUCCUGGGAGGACUACCGAUGGCGAAGGCAUCUGACAAGAACGGUUCUGACUGUGAGGGACGAAAGCUAGGGGAGCAAAACGGAUUAGAUACCCGAGUAGUCCUAGCCGUAAACGCUGUGAGCAAGGUAUUGCGCCUCCCACGAGGAUGCGCAGUGUCGAAACGAAGGUGUUAAGCUCACCACCAGGGAAGUACGGUCGCAAGGCUGAAACUUUAAGGAAUUGGCGGGGGAGCAC
RNAcentral lists this ribosomal RNA (790 nucleotides) under uncultured archaeon. Its description in RNAcentral is "bacterial SSU rRNA". It matches the Rfam family "Archaeal small subunit ribosomal RNA", at positions 85 to 879 of the family's 1478-position model. The record is from RNAcentral.